This is a ribosomal RNA of Otolemur garnettii (small-eared galago), 135 nucleotides long. The record is from Ensembl. NCBI's taxonomy places the organism in Eukaryota, Metazoa, Chordata, Mammalia, Primates, Galagidae.
GUCGAUGGCCAUACCACCCUGAAUGCACCCAAUCUUGUCUGAUCUUUGAAGCUAAGCAGGAUAGGAGACAAAUAGUCAAAAUAGUCUGAACUAGUGCUUGGGUACUAAAUACUUGCAGAGUGUCUACCAAUGGAU